UGGUAAUGCCGGAUGCUCCAGUUGAUCGCAUGGUCUUCUGGGAAAGCUUUCGCGGUAUGGGAUGGGGUCGCGUCCUAUCAGCUUGACGGCGGGGUAACGGCCCACCGUGGCUUCGACGGGUAGCCGGCCUGAGAGGGCGACCGGCCACAUUGGGACUGAGAUACGGCCCAGACUCCUACGGGAGGCAGCAGUGGGGAAUAUUGCACAAUGGGCGCAAGCCUGAUGCAGCGACGCCGCGUGAGGGAUGGAGGCCUUCGGGUUGUAAACCUCUUUUAUCGGGGAGCAAGCGAGAGUGAGUUUACCCGUUGAAUAAGCACCGGCUAACUACGUGCCAGCAGCCGCGGUAAUACGUAGGGUGCAAGCGUUAUCCGGAAUUAUUGGGCGUAAAGGGCUCGUAGGCGGUUCGUCGCGUCCGGUGUGAAAGUCCAUCGCUUAACGGUGGAUCCGCGCCGGGUACGGGCGGGCUUGAGUGCGGUAGGGGAGACUGGAAUUCCCGGUGUAACGGUGGAAUGUGUAGAU
This 519-nucleotide ribosomal RNA is filed under the name Bifidobacterium longum. RNAcentral's name for it is "partial 16S ribosomal RNA". It matches the Rfam family "Bacterial small subunit ribosomal RNA", at positions 161 to 695 of the family's 1533-position model. Lineage: Bacteria; Bacillati; Actinomycetota; Actinomycetes; Bifidobacteriales; Bifidobacteriaceae. RNAcentral also lists the same sequence under 1 other name. The record is from RNAcentral.